UUUAUUUUGUCGACAUUAUCCUUGAGGUAAAUAAGUUGGGUGGCAUAUCAUUUAAGCCCAUAUCUCCCUAUGUGUCCCAUGGAAACAUGAGCUCCAAAAAUAUACCUUGAGCGUGAGCAAUCAUAAACGAUUAAAUGAUGGUUGAGUAUGUGAGCUUGCCAAAAACAAAGCUCUUAAAUAGACUCACCUAUGAAAUAUGAUGAAUUAUGAUUGUUCCAAUGACUGAGAACAUAGUUUGUUGAUUGUCAACAAAGUUUAUGCUUCUUACUCCAACAAUUGUG
Molecule: long non-coding RNA, 281 nt
Filed under: Hordeum vulgare
Lineage: Eukaryota; Viridiplantae; Streptophyta; Magnoliopsida; Poales; Poaceae
Description: long non-coding RNA (HVUL_LNC012886)
Source: RNAcentral